This 430-nucleotide ribosomal RNA is filed under the name uncultured Syntrophobacter sp. RNAcentral describes it as "bacterial SSU rRNA". It matches the Rfam family "Bacterial small subunit ribosomal RNA", at positions 355 to 776 of the family's 1533-position model. Lineage: Bacteria; Pseudomonadati; Thermodesulfobacteriota; Syntrophobacteria; Syntrophobacterales; Syntrophobacteraceae. The record is from RNAcentral.
UGAGGAAUUUUGCGCAAUGGGAGCAAUCCUGACGCAGCAACGCCGCGUGAGUGAUGAAGGCCUUCGGGUCGUAAAGCUCUGUCAGGUGGGAAGAACAUCCAUGAGACGAAUAGUGUUAUGGAGUGACGGUACCACCAGAGGAAGCACCGGCUAACUCCGUGCCAGCAGCCGCGGUAAUACGGAGGGUGCGAGCGUUAUUCGGAAUUACUGGGCGUAAAGCGCGUGCAGGCGGGAAGGCAAGUCUGAUGUGAAAGCCCUGGGCUUAACCUGGGAAGUGCAUUGGAAACUGCUUUUCUUGAGUACUGGAGAGGAAGGGGGAAUUCCCGGUGUAGAGGUGAAAUUCGUAGAGAUCGGGAGGAAUAUCAGUGGCGAAGGCGCCCUUCUGGACGGAUACUGACGCUGAGACGCGAAAGCGUGGGGAGCAAACAGG